UACGUAGGGUGCGAGCGUUAAUCGGAAUUACUGGGCGUAAAGCGUGCGCAGGCGGUUUUGCAAGCCGGAUGUGAAAUCCCCGGGCUCAACCUGGGAAUGGCAUUCGGGACUGCAAGGCUGGAGUGCGGCAGAGGAGACUGGAAUUCCUGGUGUAGCAGUGAAAUGCGUAGAUAUCAGGAGGAAUACCGAUGGCGAAGGCAGGUCUCUGGGCUGACACUGACGCUCAGAAGCGAAAGCGUGGGGAGCGAACAGG
RNAcentral lists this ribosomal RNA (253 nucleotides) under uncultured bacterium. Its description in RNAcentral is "partial 16S ribosomal RNA". It matches the Rfam family "Bacterial small subunit ribosomal RNA", at positions 524 to 776 of the family's 1533-position model. The record is from RNAcentral.